Long non-coding RNA from Clupea harengus (Atlantic herring), 1786 nucleotides. The record is from Ensembl. Lineage: Eukaryota; Metazoa; Chordata; Actinopteri; Clupeiformes; Clupeidae.
GGAGGGAAAGGAAUUGUGUAACCAAGACAACCGCUGACUGUGGAGUGUGUUCUGCCCUGUUCUGUUCUGUUCUGUUAGAUCACCUCAAACUGCAUGCUGGGAAACCAGUUCAGUGGAAGAGAAGCGGGUGUUGUGUAGACUGACGAUGCGCUCUUCACAUGAACACGGGUGAUUGUUCCUAUGUCUCAGACACACAGAGGCAGACAUCAGGUGGGAUCAGGUGCGAGAACCAUACCAGAAUCUGAUGAUGUGUGAUAUCUCUGUUGAAGUGUGUAAAUAUGUCUAUCAGUGUCCUUGUCUCGAGCGCAGGAGAGUGUCUGUGUCUGUGUCCUUGUCUCAGGAGAGUGUCUCUGUCUCUGUCUCAGUGUCCUUGUCUCGAGGGCAGGAGAGAGAGUGUCUCUGUCUCAGUGUCCUUGUCUCUAGGGCAGAAGAGUGUCUGUGUCUCAGUGUCCUUGUCUCUAGGGCAGGAGAGUGAGAGUGUCUCUGUCUCAGUGUCCUUGUCUCUAGGACAGGAGAGUGUCUGUGUCUCGUAUGUGUUUACUGUGAGAUGGUGGCUCUUGGGUCACAUGUGUCAUAAACCGCCGAACUAUGGAACGGAUCAGCGAUGGUAUCCAGAGGCUGUACCAGAUCUGUCCCACGGUCAAACUUAGUGUGUGUGUGUGUGUGUGUGUGUAUGGGGAAGGGAGGGGGUGAUGUGUGUUGUCCUGCACUGGGCGUUGCUUCUCAUAAUUAAAUGAUCCCUCCCUCGUCAUCUCUCGCUCUUGCAGGUGGAGUUGGGGGGGGGGGGGCGGAACAUUAGAACAGCGGAACAAGUGCUAGGCGUGUGUGUGUCUGUGUGUGUGUGUAGGUGUGUGUGGAGUGGCGUUGUCACUGACAAGCUUUUUUUAGCCCUAGCCGUGACCACUCACUGACCCGCGACAAAGCUCUCUCUCCUCUCCUCUCCUCCCUGUCUCUCUCUCUCCUCUCCUCCCCUCCCCUCUCUGUCUCUCUCUCUCCUCCCCUCCCUGACUCUCUCUUUCUCUCACUCUCUUCUCUCUCUCCUCCUCUCUCUCAAGGAUGCUGGUGUCCCCGUGCUGAACCUUUUCCCAGACUGCGUCAGUGUGUGUGCUGAAAAAGAGUGUGUGUGUGCUGAAAAAGAGAGUGUGUGUCAAGAGAGAGAGUGUGUGUGUGUGUGUGUGGUGAAAAAGAGUCGAGAGAGUGUGUACUCGGAGAAAGGCUGCACCUCCAACGGCGGGGGAGGGGUGGGGCAUCACCGCCUGAGCAGAGGACAAGUUCAGAGGGAGGACAACACACACACUCACACACACACUUUCACUCACACAGACACUUACAUCGACCAUCAUCCACACAUUCAAAUCUCCACACACACGCACACACACUUUUGCACACACCUAUAGGUCUGUUUUAUCAUGGAGAUGGAAGUUUGUGAAUCUGGCGUCUCAGAUCUACCUCAGCACGAGCGGCUGUCUGGUGAAGCUCGUCAGUGGUGCUGUGGUGCUCUGGUGUCAGUGUGGGUGGGAGAAGGUGCUGUGGUGCUCUGGUGUCAGUGUGGGUGGGAGAAGGUGCUGUGUCCUUAAGUGCACUGAAUGAAAUGUGUUCCUGACUGCAGCAGAACCAUGGGUAGGAACCAGCUCAAGACCGGACUGGACAGAUGACGGCCAGAUUCUAUUCCACAGCCUGCUGCUCUUUCUGUGAGUGGUGUGUGUGUGUGUGUGUGUGUGCAUGGAGCUAACCCUAACCCUUAAGAUAAGCAGAUGGGUUUGGGGGCCAUUCUGGGCCUGAGUGG